CCUACGGGAGGCAGCAGUGAGGAAUAUUGGUCAAUGGACGAGAGUCUGAACCAGCCAAGUAGCGUGAAGGAUGACUGCCCUAUGGGUUGUAAACUUCUUUUAUACGGGAAUAAAGUGGAGUAUGCAUACUCCUUUGUAUGUACCGUAUGAAUAAGGAUCGGCUAACUCCGUGCCAGCAGCCGCGGUAAUACGGAGGAUCCGAGCGUUAUCCGGAUUUAUUGGGUUUAAAGGGAGCGUAGAUGGAUGUUUAAGUCAGUUGUGAAAGUUUGCGGCUCAACCGUAAAAUUGCAGUUGAUACUGGAUGUCUUGAGUGCAGUUGAGGCAGGCGGAAUUCGUGGUGUAGCGGUGAAAUGCUUAGAUAUCACGAAGAACUCCGAUUGCGAAGGCAGCCUGCUGGACUGUAACUGACGCUGAUGCUCGAAAG
Molecule: ribosomal RNA, 424 nt
Filed under: uncultured Bacteroides sp.
Lineage: Bacteria; Pseudomonadati; Bacteroidota; Bacteroidia; Bacteroidales; Bacteroidaceae
Description: bacterial SSU rRNA
Rfam family: Bacterial small subunit ribosomal RNA
Source: RNAcentral